RNAcentral lists this ribosomal RNA (256 nucleotides) under Methanococcus aeolicus. RNAcentral describes it as "partial 23S ribosomal RNA". It matches the Rfam family "Archaeal large subunit ribosomal RNA", at positions 1474 to 1729 of the family's 2987-position model. Lineage: Archaea; Methanobacteriati; Methanobacteriota; Methanococci; Methanococcales; Methanococcaceae. The record is from RNAcentral.
GGUCCUAACUUCCGAGGUACUCCUUUGGAAAGGAAAGGGAGACAGGUUAAUAUUCCUGUGCCAUCUANAUACACGCGGCAACGCAAGGUUAGUUUCUGACGCUUCAGGGUAUGCUAACUGCUCUUGUCUGGGUAGUCAAAUGUAUAAGUCUGGGGAGAGUUGUAAUAGCGAGAACCAGAUGAAAGCAUGAUGAUCCAUCCUUUNGGAUGGUUUGGCNGNUCUCUNNAGCCCGUGAAAAGGGAACUAUCAUGGAUUU